CGACGUGUCGCUGACGCUGGGCCUGCAGCACGCCGGCGCCGGCAACGCCGGGCCCGACGGCAGCGGCCGCUUCUCCUUGCGAGACUACAGUGGUUGCUGAUCAUUUCUGCAUACUACACACCUACCUAUCCAUCCAUGAUUUGGCUCAUCCAUGCAUUGCACUUGGAGCACUAGAGUGAGAAGAAGAUCUAGAGAGAGAAACAAAAAAAGUUACAGCAAGGAGAGAGAAAUUAAAAGAGAUCAAGCAUCAGAG
This 253-nucleotide long non-coding RNA is filed under the name Oryza sativa (Asian cultivated rice). RNAcentral describes it as "long non-coding RNA (OSAT_LNC000637)". Lineage: Eukaryota; Viridiplantae; Streptophyta; Magnoliopsida; Poales; Poaceae. The record is from RNAcentral.